This 515-nucleotide ribosomal RNA is filed under the name uncultured bacterium. RNAcentral's name for it is "partial 16S ribosomal RNA". It matches the Rfam family "Bacterial small subunit ribosomal RNA", at positions 28 to 523 of the family's 1533-position model. The record is from RNAcentral.
GAUGAACGCUGGCGGCGUGCCUAAUACAUGCAAGUCGAGCGAAUGGAUUAAGAGCUUGCUCUUAUGAAGUUAGCGGCGGACGGGUGAGUAACACGUGGGUAACCUGCCCGUAAGACUAGGAUAACUCCGGGAAACCGGGGCUAAUACCGGAUAAUAUUUUGAACUGCAUGGUUCAAAAUUGAAAGGCGGCUUCGGCUGUCACUUAUGGAUGGACCCGCGUCGCAUUAGCUAGUUGGUGAGGUAACGGCUCACCAAGGCAACGAUGCGUAGCCGACCUGAGAGGGUGAUCGGCCACACUGGGACUGAGACACGGCCCAUACUCCUACGGGAGGCAGCAGUAGGGAAUCUUCCGCAAUGGACGAAAGUCUGACGGAGCAACGCCGCGUGAGGGAUGAAGGCUUUCGGGUCGUAAAACUCUGUUGUUAGGGAAGAACAAGUGCUAGUUGAAUAAGCUGGCACCUUGACGGUACCUAACCAGAAAGCCACGGCUAACUACGUGCCAGCAGCCGCCGUAA